UACGUGGGUGGCAAGCGUUGUCCGGAUUUAUUGGGUUUAAAGGGUGCGUAGGCGGCUUUGUAAGUCAGUGGUGAAAUAUGGAAGCUCAACUGUCAGGGUGCCAUUGAUACUGCGGAGCUUGAGUACAGAUGAGGUAGGCGGAAUUGACGGUGUAGCGGUGAAAUGCUUAGAUAUCGUCAAGAACACCGAUAGCGAAGGCAGCUUACUAGGCUGUAACUGACGCUGAGGCACGAAAGUGUGGGGAUCAAACAGG
RNAcentral lists this ribosomal RNA (253 nucleotides) under uncultured bacterium. RNAcentral's name for it is "partial 16S ribosomal RNA". It matches the Rfam family "Bacterial small subunit ribosomal RNA", at positions 524 to 776 of the family's 1533-position model. The record is from RNAcentral.